This is an RNA transcript of Medicago truncatula (barrel medic), 1045 nucleotides long. It is a transcript of the gene named metal transporter Nramp1, with no coding region annotated. Lineage: Eukaryota; Viridiplantae; Streptophyta; Magnoliopsida; Fabales; Fabaceae. The transcript has 5 exons. The record is from RefSeq and is a predicted model, not a curated record.
UCUUCGCUAUAAAUUUCCUUCGAGAAUUGUUCUUCUAACAAUGAGUGCUUCUCACAAAUAAUAAUUUGUUGUUUUUGUAGUCAUCUUUGUACAAGUUUUAGAAAUAUAGUGGCUCUUUGAUCCACCCAACUAUCUAAAAAUCACCAACAACCCUUUUCUUUUCACUCCUAACAUCACCAUCUCAAUUGAAAACCUUAUCAUAUACUACCAAAUACAUAGUGACUAAAAACCAAGAAGAAAAAAAACAUGCAUUUUAUCAAGAAAUUAAGAAACUCACCAUGUGCAUGAACCUCACGGUGAAGUGUGGAGUUGCCUUUGGGCAUGGGUGGAAUUGGAAAAUAGGAUGCAUGCAAAUACUUUCUAAUUGAGAGUGGUUUCGCGUUGCAUUUCUAAUCAAUGUUGCAAUGAUUUUUGUGACUGGUACUGUUUACAAAGCUGAUGAUAUUUCUGAAGAGAAUGCUGAUCGUUGCAAUGAUAUUACUCUUAACUCUGCUUCUUUCCUUCUCCAGUUUUGAUGUCCAUUAGAAUGUGUUGGGACGUUCAAGCUCAGCUAUUUAUGCCAUAGCAUUGCUAGCCUCAGGACAAAGUUCUGCCAUCACUGGAACCUAUGCAGAGACCGAUUUGUUACAACAUCAAAACGAAUCAAACAGGUGAUCACCUGCAUACGCAUGGACAAUCUUGUUCCAUAAGAUGCAACUAUAAAGUUAGUGUGAUAUUCAACACCAGAAAACCAAGUGUGGCCAUGACAGCACCAAAAACGAAUAUGUUUACUGAUACACCCUCAACUUUCCUAUUCAAUACUUUUAAAUAUUUUCUGACCUAAUUUUAAUAUGAGAGAAUUAUAGUGUGAUUCUUUAUGCAUGUUUUUUAUUACGAUGGAUUUUCUGAAAUCACAAUGAUUCAACAAUUUAAAAUUCAAAUCACUAAUUGAUAUUCAAAAUUUUGAAAUAUUAAUCUGGCCAUCCUAGCCUAAAAUUCAUUCCAGAUUGUAUUGAAUAAUCUUUAUUUAUUAAUUUUGUUACAUCUACAAUAAUUUAACCUAAUU